Molecule: unclassified non-coding RNA, 246 nt
Filed under: Hevea brasiliensis (rubber tree)
Lineage: Eukaryota; Viridiplantae; Streptophyta; Magnoliopsida; Malpighiales; Euphorbiaceae
Source: RNAcentral
AAAAAAAAAAAGAAAAGAAAGAAAUAUCUGUAUCUGCAGUUGGAUAUGGGAAGUGCUGGAAAGCGUGGAUUAGUUUGUUUUUAGUAACCCUCACGAGUUUUAGACAGUGGUGUCGCCGUGUCGGGUUUAAAAUGGUUGUGUUAAUUGGAAUUGAGUUGGGUUUGGAAUCCGCGCAUAGAGUUGGUUGUACAAAGGGAGAGAAGCGUGAAUAAAAAGAAGGUGGAGGGCAAAGAUGAUAUAAGAAAG